GUGAGGAAUUUUGCGCAAUGGGGGCAACCCUGACGCAGCGACGCCGCGUGGAGGACGAAGUCUUUCGGGAUGUAAACUCCUGUCAGUGGGGACGAUAAUGACGGUACCCACAGAGGAAGCACCGGCUAACUCCGUGCCAGCAGCCGCGGUAAGACGGAGGGUGCAAGCGUUGUUCGGAAUUACUGGGCGUAAAGCGUACGUAGGCGGCAAGUUAAGUUCAAUGUUAAAGCCCACGGCUCAACGGAGGAGAUGCAUUGAAUACUGGCUAGCUAGAGGGUGUUAGAGGGAGACGGAAUUCCCAGUGUAGCGGUGAAAUGCGUAGAUAUUGGGAGGAACAUCGGUAGCGAAAGCGGUCUUCUGGGACACACCUGACGCUGAGGUACGAAAGCGUGGGGAGCAAACGGGAUUAGAAACCCCAGUAGUCC
This 425-nucleotide ribosomal RNA is filed under the name uncultured bacterium. RNAcentral describes it as "partial 16S ribosomal RNA". It matches the Rfam family "Bacterial small subunit ribosomal RNA", at positions 354 to 796 of the family's 1533-position model. The record is from RNAcentral.